AUUGAACGCUGGCGGCAGGCUUAACACAUGCAAGUCGAGCGAGCGGCGGACGGGUGAGUAAUGUCUGGGGAACUGCCCGAUAGAGGGGGAUAACUACUGGAAACGGUGGCUAAUACCGCAUACUAUCGGAUGUGCCCAUAUGGGAUUAGCUAGUAGGUGGGGUAAAUGCUCACCUAGGCGACGAUCCCUAGCUGGGCUGAGAGGAUGAUCAGCCACACUGGGACUGAGACACGGCCCAGACUACUACGGGAGGCAGCAGUUGGGAAUAUUGCACAAUGGGCGCAAGCCUGAUGCAGCCAUGCCGCGUGUAUGAAGAAGGCCUUAGGGUUGUAAAGGACUUUCAGCGGGGAGGCGUUACUCGCAGAAGAAGCACCGGCUAACUCCGUGCCAGCAGCCGCGGUAAUUC
This 406-nucleotide ribosomal RNA is filed under the name uncultured bacterium. RNAcentral describes it as "partial 16S ribosomal RNA". It matches the Rfam family "Bacterial small subunit ribosomal RNA", at positions 30 to 526 of the family's 1533-position model. The record is from RNAcentral.